UUUCAGAGCCUCCAAGCUGCUAAAUUCGUUCUAGAAAGAAACACUAGGAUUUUGGAGUUGGAAGCUUUCAAAUCUAAGCUUUUAUAAACACAUGGGAAGUAAGUUGGAGUGUGAUUUUGGUAUUGAGGUGUUGAUCAAAGUUCUAAGCUAUCCAAGGUGUUUGAUUUUUUUGAAAGUUAAGGUUUUCGAUGGUGCAAGUAAAUGAACAUGGAAGGCGGGACAGAUCCUAGGUGGCUUUGGCAUGUGUAUUGGGAGAGGACUAAAGGAAUGGACCAAUGGAAUCGAUUGAGAAUGACGUUGACAUUUGAGUCUUUUAUUUAUGUAUUUAUGAUUUCCCCAUUUAGCAUUUGAACAUUUAUAAUAAAUGUUUAAUUUUUUUUAUGAUUUUAUGUAUAAACAAUGAG
Molecule: long non-coding RNA, 404 nt
Organism: Humulus lupulus (European hop)
Lineage: Eukaryota; Viridiplantae; Streptophyta; Magnoliopsida; Rosales; Cannabaceae
Exons: 3
Source: RefSeq, a predicted model, not a curated record